GUCAAUGUUACUCACCUCCUCUCUCUCUCUCUCUCCUUGAUUAAAGUCGCCAUUCUCUAUCUCUCUCAUCACUCCAGUGUCACCCUUCUCCUCUCUCAUCACUCUAAUGUCGCCCUUCAUGCUUCCAAUAAGGCCCCCAUCACGUUCUCUUUGAAUCUCAUCCGAAAUGUCUCUUGUUGGGGGCGAAAUUGAUAACGACGAAACCAAUGUCAAAA
RNAcentral lists this long non-coding RNA (215 nucleotides) under Brassica rapa (field mustard). Its description in RNAcentral is "long non-coding RNA (BRAP_LNC004690)". Lineage: Eukaryota; Viridiplantae; Streptophyta; Magnoliopsida; Brassicales; Brassicaceae. The record is from RNAcentral.